RNAcentral lists this transfer RNA (72 nucleotides) under Bos taurus (domestic cattle). It matches the Rfam family "tRNA". From Rfam's summary of the family: Transfer RNA (tRNA) molecules are approximately 80 nucleotides in length. Their secondary structure includes four short double-helical elements and three loops (D, anti-codon, and T loops). RNAcentral also lists the same sequence under 5 other names. Lineage: Eukaryota; Metazoa; Chordata; Mammalia; Artiodactyla; Bovidae. The record is from Rfam by way of RNAcentral.
UCUUAGGUGCCUGAGAAGGUAAAGAAUCCACCUGCAAUGUGGGAGACCUGGGUUCGAUCCCUGGGUUAGGAA